AUUUCCCAGGACAUCGCGUGAGACCUCGUUCAUCUCCUGCACCACCAGCUUCACCACAUCUUCUGCCGACAUCUUGUUGGUGAGGUGCAGCUGUGCAGAAAUAGAGGCUUGGAUUGAAAGCCCUACCUGGAGAUGUUUGGGUUGCUUCGUAUCUUCACAUGACAUAAUAUGUUGGGUAAACGUUCAGGCACCAACACUCGGAUCUGGUCAACAGCACUACAGAGCUUCAGCUUCCAGGAUCCAACCAAGACCAAAAGCCUCAGGAGACAGACUGGCACGGGGCAGGAGGCACCAGAAAUUUUACAAAGGAGACUGUUGUUGUCAGAUAUUCAGACUAGUGUUGCAAUCUCCAGGAACUGAGACUGCGUUGAACUGGCCCUUUAGUGGUUUGGCCUUUGCUAAUCCUGGCAAUGGCUUUGAAUAAGCACUUUCAAUAGACCCUUGUACAGGUGCUUGAGUGCCUUUUGUUGCUGGAGACACUUGGCUGACUGAGAGGAAAUGAAAAGAGAGAGGAACAACUAGACGAGGGGUCAAGAGGAGGAAAGGCUGGGCACUCACAGAAGGGAUUCUUUGCUAAUACCUGCUAACAAGCUGGGAAAACAACUGCAACUGGAUGCAAGAAGGGUAAAUGUAUCGAAAAUAGUUAUCUGAAUCCCUAGUGGGAAAACUUACACCUGGGAAACCAACUUUUCCUUUGCCUCUGCAAAGUGUCACAUACCUUGAAUAAAAACUAAGCAAAAAAGAAGCUGAACUUCUGCUCUCCUAAACAGGGCUUAAUGCAAGCCAAA
Long non-coding RNA from Lacerta agilis (Sand lizard), 788 nucleotides. RefSeq lists it as uncharacterized. The transcript has 3 exons. Lineage: Eukaryota; Metazoa; Chordata; Lepidosauria; Squamata; Lacertidae. The record is from RefSeq and is a predicted model, not a curated record.